AGACACCAGAGCUGUCCCUCUCUCGGCUUGCACUAAGGAGGAGGUCACGUGAGCACACAGUGAGAAGGCGGAGGACCAUCUGCAAGCAGGAAGAGAGCCCUCGCUAGAACCCCCCACGGUGGCAUCUGAUAGUGGACUUCUAGCUUCCAGAACUGAACUCAUAAAUGUCACAUCAGGCUGCCUCUUGGUGAAUUUUUAAUCAACGGGGAGAAUUUCAGCUACAAAUAGACCAAGAAUCAAGAGGCCCACUAUUGAUCGGUCAAAGUGGCACUUAUGAACCUGAGGUUGAAGCAGUUUGGAUAAAAGGAUUCUGGGCUUUCGAUGGCCCCAGAGACAUCUUUUUCCAUCAAGUCCAGGCUUGCUGAUCGGUACAGCUGAGAACAUGUUGAAUUUGAUGUGCCUGUGGAUAUUUGAGUCUGGAACAUUGAAGACAAGUUUGGUCUGGAGAUGUAGACUGGGGAUAUCUCAGCACACAGAUGAUAACUGAAAUGAUGGAGCGGAUGAUAUAAACUGGAGAGAGUCUGGUGUGGGAAGAGUCUUCCCUGAGGUGGCCGAAAGAUGUAAUUCUUACUCCAAAGACUGAAAUAGAGACAAGAGAAGCUGAAGUUACAGGGUUUUGUCAUUGGGAAGACAGUAGAGUGUGUCAUAUCCCAAGAGUGAAGCAAGGACAAACCAAAGAACAACUGGGAAGAUCUGGGAGAAAAAGGGAGAGGAGAGCCUGACGUUUCAAGAACUCAAGGUUCAGUACUAGGUCUUAGAGGAAGACUUCAUUUUAGCUUUGAUGCUCUCCGCUAGGCACAGAGAAACUUAAGCAGAAUGACAAGACCUGCUGUUUGAGUAACUCACGUUCUGACCAGAGAGACAGACAUGUCAGCAAGAGGUUACAAUACAGUGUGCUCAGAUUCUCCGGGACUUGGAGCACUUGUUCCAGAAAGGAAGGCCAGGGAAGUCUUCCAGGAGUAGAUGGCGCCUCUGCUGACCUGAAGGGUGAGGAAAAAGUGUCCAGUUGCAGAAGGUGCAACUGCCUAUAGAACAGCUGCCGCGGCCCACUGAAAGCUUCAAGCCGAGACCUGAGGUGCAUGAACCCUCCUUCUGAUAAGCUUCAGAGCAGAAAUGAUGCAACUGAGUCACAGAGAAGUUAAGUAAUCUGCCUGCCGACACUCGGGUCGAUGCCGCCUCAUUCCAUCACUCGGGCAAUGGAGCCAAAGGCCACGUUCACAACCACUAGGCUGUCCCAGCCCCUUGCUUCAAAGAUAGCCAGGCAGGAGUUAUUUUAUAGAAUGGAAGUAAUUUCUACGGGGCCAAGCAAUAAUAAGGAAAUUGGAAGUCAAGGACUAUCUUCCGAAUGGAGAAGAAGCUCCAUCAACCACAGAAGGAAAUUAUGAUCACUCCUGCCAUCCUGCUCCUUUGUGUAUCCAGGAUGAAGGGGAGAAUUGGAGUCUUGCACAAUGAAAGGACAACAUUGCUGCCAAAACAAUCCAUCGUGACUGUAGACAUAUUUUCCACCCUCAUCCUGCAGGUUUUCUGCCAGUUGUUGGCCCCUCACCAAUUUUGCUCCUGGGCAGUCUGAGGUGGAACAUAAUUUUGUAUAAAACAAAUUAUGCUCAACCUCACUUAUAAUCAGGGAAAUGUGAGUCAAAACCACAAUAAAAUAUCACCUCAUGCUGUUUAGGAUUGCUGUUAUCAAGUAGACAAGAAAGAAGUGUUGGUGAGGGUAAGGAGAAAAUAAAA
Molecule: long non-coding RNA, 1731 nt
Organism: Homo sapiens (human)
Lineage: Eukaryota; Metazoa; Chordata; Mammalia; Primates; Hominidae
Source: Ensembl